This 201-nucleotide small nuclear RNA is filed under the name Nannospalax galili (Upper Galilee mountains blind mole rat). RNAcentral describes it as "7SK RNA (ENSNGAG00000002593.1)". It matches the Rfam family "7SK RNA". Rfam says of the family: 7SK was discovered as an abundant small nuclear RNA in the mid-70s but a possible function has only recently been suggested. Two independent studies have found that 7SK RNA binds the CDK9/cyclin T complex (known as elongation factor P-TEFb). P-TEFb activates transcription by phosphorylating the C-terminal domain of RNA polymerase II. Lineage: Eukaryota; Metazoa; Chordata; Mammalia; Rodentia; Spalacidae. The record is from RNAcentral.
GUGACUGACUCUGGUCAGCUGGCUGCAACAUCUGUCUAGUGCUUGAUUGCUAGUGUUGAUUCAAUUGAUCUGGCUUGCUAGGCAGGUAUCCCUUUCCUCCUUCAGUGCUCCAUGUGCAUCCUUCUUAAAACUGCAUGCUUAGUCAAAGAUGACAACCUUCUCUGAAAGUGAGGGACCAAUCCUUUUUUAAAAAAAAUAUUU